Molecule: long non-coding RNA, 1176 nt
Organism: Callithrix jacchus (white-tufted-ear marmoset)
Lineage: Eukaryota; Metazoa; Chordata; Mammalia; Primates; Cebidae
Source: RefSeq, a predicted model, not a curated record
UGUUCAAAUCACUAGAGAUUAAAAGAGUGCCCUCCAAAAUAUGUGAAACUUGAAGGAAUUAGGUUAGAAAAUAUCUUUUAAAAAAUAGAAGUGACACCUCCACUCUGUGGAGACCUACAUGGAACAAGAGAACUGAAGAACUACCUAGUUGGUCCUGCUCAUUCUCAUCUACAAGUUCUCAGCACAAACAGCAUUGCUUUAGAGGUUCUCCAGAAAAAUAAAAUCCAUAAGAAAAUUAACGGAAACACAGAGAUAAAGACAGAGAGAUAUAAUUUAUCAAAAAGAAUUGGCUCACAUGAUUAUGGAGGCUUGGAAGCUUUGAUGUCUUAAGAUCUGCAGUUGGCAAGCUGGAGACCUAGGAGCACUGAUACGUAGCUCCUGAUUCCUGUCCAAGUCUGAAGGCCUGAGAAUUAGGAAAGCUGAUGGCAUAAAUCCCAAUCUGUGUAUGACUCUGAGGACAGAAUAUUAAUACCCCGGCUGAAGACAGUCAGGAAGAUUUCCCCAUGCUGUUCUCCUGAUAAUCUCACAGAAUCUGAUGGUUUUAUAAGAUUCUGGCAUUGCCCCUGCUCCCAGUCACUGUGUUCUGCCACCCUGUGACAAAGAUGCCUGCUUUUCCUUUGCCUUCCACCAUGAUUCUACGUUUCCUGAGGCCUCCCCAGCAAUGGGGAACUGUGAGUCAAACCUCGUUUCUUUAUAAAUUACCCAGUCUUGGGUAUUUCUUCACAGCAGCAUGAGAAGGGACUAAUACACUCAUCUGAGCCUUGAGUCAUUGAUAAAUGAGUUAGAGAAGAAAGGCGCAUAAACCAGUAGAAUUUAAUUCCUGUGCAAGUGAAAUUUCCUUGAAAAGAGAGUCAAAAUAUCAUGUCCAGAUGAAAGCUGGUACACUCUCUACCACUCUUCCUAUCAAGAUGUGAGGUUUAUUGUUCUUUCAAUUGAAUGUGGACUGGCUCUGUGACUUUUUCACCAAAGAAAAACCACAACUCACAAACUAAUCCAGUUUGCUAAUGCUACUGGCAACCUCUGAUCCAUCUUUCUCAGCAUGCAUGCUUUGGGAAAAGUCAGCUUCAAUGUGAAGGAUUGGAAUACACUAGACUACCAUGCUGUGAGGAAACCUAAGCUAGCCACAUGGAGAAGCCACAUGAAGGGGACACAUGGAGAGGGAGAGAAAGGGGGAGA